AAAUAGUUGCGUUAGGGAUUGAAACGACAUCCUUUUUUUGUUUUUUCAAAAAAAGAUAUAGUGGAAAGCCCGUUAAAAC
RNAcentral lists this small RNA (79 nucleotides) under Polaribacter sp. SA4-12. RNAcentral's name for it is "Flavo-1 RNA". It matches the Rfam family "Flavo-1 RNA". Lineage: Bacteria; Pseudomonadati; Bacteroidota; Flavobacteriia; Flavobacteriales; Flavobacteriaceae. The record is from Rfam by way of RNAcentral.